Molecule: unclassified non-coding RNA, 335 nt
Filed under: soil metagenome
Description: partial contains 5.8S ribosomal RNA, internal transcribed spacer 2, and large subunit ribosomal RNA
Rfam family: 5.8S ribosomal RNA (bases 1-120)
Source: RNAcentral
GAUGAAGAACGUAGCGAAAUGCGAUAAGUAAUGUGAAUUGCAGAAUUCAGUGAAUCAUCGAAUCUUUGAACGCACAUUGCGCCCGCCAGUAUUCUGGCGGGCAUGCCUGUUCGAGCGUCAUUUCAACCAUCAAGCCCCCGGCCUGUGUUGGGGACCUGCGGCUGCCGCAGGCCCUGAAAACCAGUGGCGGGCUCGCUAGUCACUCCGAGCGUAGUAAUACAUCUCGCUCAGGGCGUGCUGCGGGUUCCGGCCGUUAAAAGCCUUAUUUUACCCAAGGUUGACCUCGGAUCAGGUAGGAAGACCCGCUGAACUUAAGCAUAUCAAUAAGCGGAGGA